Molecule: ribosomal RNA, 649 nt
Filed under: Acidomeria cinctipes
Lineage: Eukaryota; Metazoa; Arthropoda; Insecta; Hemiptera; Coreidae
Description: SSU rRNA
Rfam family: Eukaryotic small subunit ribosomal RNA
Source: RNAcentral
UGUUUACUUUGAACAAAUUAGAGUGCUUAAAGCAGGCUCUUAAAUCAGCCUGAAUAGUGGUGCAUGGAAUAAUGGAACAGGACCUUGGUUCUAUUUUGUUGGUUUCCGGAAUCCAAGGUAAUGAUCAAUAAGGACAGGCGGGGGCAUUCGUAUUGCGGCGUUAGAGGUGAAAUUCUUGGAUCGUCGCAAGACGCACUAGAGCGAAAGCAUUUGCCAAGUAUGUCUUAAUUGAUCAAGAACGAAAGUUAGAGGUUCGAAGGCGAUCAGAUACCGCCCUAGUUCUAACCAUAAACGAUGCCAGCCAGCGAUCCGCCGACGUUCCUCCGAUGACUCGGCGGGGAGCUUCCCCAGGGAAACCAAAAGCUUUUGGGUUCCGGGGGAAGUAUGGUUGCAAAGCUGAAACUUAAAGGAAUUGACGGAAGGGCACCACCAGGAGUGGAGCCUGCGGCUUAAUUUGACUCAACACGGGGUAUCCCACCAGGCCAGGACAUUGGAAGGAUUGACAGAUCGAUAGCUCUUUCUCGAUUCAGUGGGUAGUGGUGCAUGGCCGUUCUUAGUUGGUGGACUGAUUUGUCUGGUUUAUUCCGAUAACGAACGAGACUCUAACCUAUUAACUAGGCGUUGCCGGUAUAAACAGCUACCGGCGAGA